UACGGGAGGCAGCAGUGGGGAAUAUUGCACAAUGGGCGAAAGCCUGAUGCAGCUAUGCCGCGUGUAUGAAGAAGGCCUUAGGGUUGUAAAGUACUUUCAUCGGGGAGGAAAAAAACAAAACUAAUAAUUUUAUUUCUUGACGUUACCCGAAAAAGAAGCACCGGCUAACUCCGUGCCAGCAGCCGCGGUAAUACGGAGGGUGCUAGCGUUAAUCAGAAUUACUGGGCGUAAAGAGCACGUAGGUGGUUUUUUUAAGUCAGAUGUGAAAUCCCUGGGCUUAACCUAGGAACUGCAUUUUGAAACUGAAAUACUAGAGUAUCGUAGAGGGAGGUAGAAUUCUAGGUGUAGCGGUGAAAUGCGUAGAUAUCUGGAGGAAUACCUGUGGCGAAAGCGGCCUCCUAAACGAAUACUGACACUGAGGUGCGAAAAGCGUGGGGAGCAAAACAGGGAUUAGAUACC
This 459-nucleotide ribosomal RNA is filed under the name uncultured bacterium. RNAcentral describes it as "bacterial SSU rRNA". It matches the Rfam family "Bacterial small subunit ribosomal RNA", at positions 340 to 786 of the family's 1533-position model. The record is from RNAcentral.